This 284-nucleotide ribosomal RNA is filed under the name uncultured bacterium. RNAcentral describes it as "partial 16S ribosomal RNA". It matches the Rfam family "Bacterial small subunit ribosomal RNA", at positions 28 to 310 of the family's 1533-position model. The record is from RNAcentral.
GAUGAACGCUAGCGGCAGGCUUAAUACAUGCAAGUCGAACGGUAAGAGAUGUAGCAAUACAUUUCCUAGAGUGACGUACGGGUGCGUAACACGUAUGCAACCUACCUGUAACAGGAGUAUAGCUCGGGGAAACUCGAAUUAACCCUCCAUAAGAUCGUGAAGUGGCAUCACUUAGCGCUUAAAACUGAGGUGGUUACAGAUGGGCAUGCGUCUGAUUAGUUAGUUGGCGGGGUAAUGGCCCACCAAGACGAUGAUCAGUAGGGGAACUGAGAGGUUGAUCCCCA